RNAcentral lists this ribosomal RNA (301 nucleotides) under uncultured bacterium. RNAcentral's name for it is "partial 16S ribosomal RNA". It matches the Rfam family "Bacterial small subunit ribosomal RNA", at positions 509 to 807 of the family's 1533-position model. The record is from RNAcentral.
CAGUAGCCGCGGUAAUACGAAGGGGGCUAGCGUUGCUCGGAAUCACUGGGCGUAAAGGGUGCGUAGGCGGGUCUUUAAGUCAGGGGUGAAAUCCUGGAGCGCAACUCCAGAACUGCCUUUGAUACUGAAGAUCUUGAGUUCGGGAGAGGUGAGUGGAACUGCGAGUGUAGAGGUGAAAUUCGUAGAUAUUCGCAAGAACACCAGUGGCGAAAGCGGCUCACUGGCCCGAUACUGACGCUUAGGCACGAAAGCGUGGGGAGCAAACAGGAUUAGAUACCCCUGUAGUCCCUGUCUCUUAUAC